UCCUUCUCUUUUCAACACAUUUUUACAAAUGGGUCCUAAGGCUGCUCUUUAUGCCAUAAUCUUUUUCAUUAUCAGGGCAAAUUAAAGAUUGCGGAUUUCGGAUGGUCGGUACACACAUUCAACCGCAGGAGGACCAUGUGCACCACCCUGGAUUACCUUCCACCCGAGAUGGUGGAGAGUGUAGAACAUGAUGCAAGUGUUGAUAUAUGGAGCCUUGGCGUUCUUUGCUACGAGUUUCUUUACGGAGUCCCGCCUUUUGAGGCCAAAGAAUAUUAAGAUACUUAUAGCAAGAACUGGCUUUGAGAUUCAGUAAAUCAAUUCAAGCUCAUGACUUGCAUACAGGUGUGGAUGUUUGUAUUAAAAUUAUAAAGAACAACAAGGAUUUCUUUGAUCAAAGCCUUGAUCAGAUCAAACUCCUUAAGUAUGUCAAUAAGCAUGCUCCUGGAGACAAGCAUCACAUUUUGCGAUUAUAUGAUUACUUCUACUAUAGAGUAAGUUAUUUUGUAUAAGCUACCGAUCUUAUUAAUACUAUUACAUUUUCCUUUCAUUCAAUUGUAGUGCAACACUAGAUACUACCUUUCCUAGGAAAUUAACAUUAAUAUAAUAACAACAUACAUUGGACUUUUCCACUCACCAUUCCUUUAUGUUGUCGUACUACAAACAAAUCUAUUUGUCCAUGUUGAUGGUGUGCACAUAAUUAGUCAAAAAUCACGAGGCCUCUUCUGCGACA
This is a long non-coding RNA of Vicia villosa (hairy vetch), 730 nucleotides long. RefSeq lists it as uncharacterized. The transcript has 3 exons. NCBI's taxonomy places the organism in Eukaryota, Viridiplantae, Streptophyta, Magnoliopsida, Fabales, Fabaceae. The record is from RefSeq and is a predicted model, not a curated record.